RNAcentral lists this long non-coding RNA (367 nucleotides) under Solanum tuberosum (potato). RNAcentral's name for it is "long non-coding RNA (STUB_LNC003636)". The record is from RNAcentral. Lineage: Eukaryota; Viridiplantae; Streptophyta; Magnoliopsida; Solanales; Solanaceae.
UUUAUAUAAAAAAAUGUAUUUUGUUAUUAUUGGGUCUAAGCCCUUGUCAUUUUACUUGUUAUUAUCUUGCUAGAAUUCAGGACAGGUACAAAAAGUUGGCAAGAAUUGGGCCUUUGGCCUAAAACGAAAAUAGGCCCAAGUACUGGCCUAGGCGGACAAAUCCAGACUUGGGACCAAAUCUUCUUGCCUUAUCUCGUUUACUUGCUAUUAGAUGUUUUACGUGUUUAUUUAAUUUUAAGGUUUCCUAAUCCAUUCCCCAAAAGAUAGUCACUUCGGGAUUUUCUAAAGACUAAAUAAUCAUGCUUAUUUUUCUACUCAAACUACUUCAAAUUUUACUUAAUAAUAUUUUAAAUAUUUCCCACCCCCC